UGGGGAAUAUUGGACAAUGGGCGCAAGCCUGAUCCAGCCAUGCCGCGUGAGUGAUGAAGGCCCUAGGGUUGUAAAGCUCUUUCACCGGUGAAGAUAAUGACGGUAACUGGAGAAGAAGCCCCGGCUAACUUCGUGCCAGCAGCCGCGGUAAUACGAAGGGGGCUAGCGUUGUUCGGAUUUACUGGGCGUAAAGCGCACGUAGGCGGACUUUUAAGUCAGGGGUGAAAUCCCGGGGCUUAACCCCGGAACUGCCUUUGAUACUGGGAGUCUUGAGUAUGGUAGAGGUGAGUGGAAUUCCGAGUGUAGAGGUGAAAUUCGUAGAUAUUCGGAAGAACACCAGUGGCGAAGGCGGCUCACUGGACCAUUACUGACGCUGAGGUGCGAAAGCGUGGGGAGCAAACAGG
This 404-nucleotide ribosomal RNA is filed under the name Actinomycetes bacterium. RNAcentral's name for it is "Actinobacteria bacterium partial 16S ribosomal RNA". It matches the Rfam family "Bacterial small subunit ribosomal RNA", at positions 355 to 776 of the family's 1533-position model. Lineage: Bacteria; Bacillati; Actinomycetota; Actinomycetes. The record is from RNAcentral.